Long non-coding RNA from Solanum pennellii, 4223 nucleotides. RefSeq lists it as uncharacterized. The record is from RefSeq and is a predicted model, not a curated record. NCBI's taxonomy places the organism in Eukaryota, Viridiplantae, Streptophyta, Magnoliopsida, Solanales, Solanaceae. The transcript is spliced from 2 exons.
CUGAACUCUUUACUAAUCAUAUUUUCUCUGAUCAAUGUACUUUUCAAUUGCUCAUCUUCCAGCCUUUCAGCUUGAUAUUUGAAUUCACGUUCCCAUUUACAUUCACAAAGAGUAUUUUUGUCAAAGGUGCACUUAAGCCAUAAAUUGAGUCUUACUACAUGUUGAACGGUUCACCUAGAUUAAUGAGUGCUUUGUCUCGAAGACAUACUUUACCUUGUCAAUGAGUGUAAUCCUGAAGAUGUGACACUAAACAACUGAUAUUUCACUUCAUCAUAUUUUCUUCCAAAUUUUUAGUCCAUAUACUUGUUAUUUCGUGCUUUUGAUUAUUGACCUUCGACGAGGCAGACAUAUCUGAAGUUUUUCUCCAUUUGUGCCUUUUCUCAUCAGAGGCCACACUCUUUUUGCUUAAAGCCCCAAAGGACCUUGUAGCUUUUUUGCGCGUUUCACUUUUGAUAACACUGAUCAAGAGUGAGCCCGUUUGGAUUGGCUUUUAAAAAAGUAGCUUUUUUAAGUCAAAAAAUAAAAAAGUAAGGAGAGUCCUACUUUUUGGUUUAUAACUUUUUCAAGUCAUUUUGAACUUAUUUUAAGUUACUUUUAACCUUGCCAAACACUCUAAAAAAUUAAGGACUUACAAGUAGGUUUGACCAACUUUUAAGCCACUCCAAACAUGUUCGGAGUUUUUUGUAAAUAAUUUGCUAAAAUUAAAAGAGGCCAUAUGCUUUCAUUCUUUUUUUACCCGUGUUUCCACCUCUGGUCUUAGCCCGUUUUACGUUCUAGAACUUAGCAAGUUGAUUGUAUUCUUUUGAUCUCUUUAUCGUUUUUGCCAUUCCAAGAUUCUUUCUUCUGCAAGGGAAAUCAAGCAGACAGAAAGAGAGCAAACUAAUCGCUUUCCUCCUCAUCCCAUUCUCACUCUUGUGUAAGUAAGCCUUAAGGAGGGAAUCUCUGAUUUUAGUAUUUGAAAGCAGCUGCCUCCGUGUUCAUAUGUUCUUAGGUUGUCUUGCUAUUGGAUUUGAUCAUCUAUAGUUAAGUAGUUCUUGACAAAUAAAAGAUCUAGGAAACUGAAGCGAAGUGGGUCCAAUGUGCUUUUCUUUCCCCUUAUCUCUUUCAAUUCAAUGCUUGCCCAAAUGUACAGAAUCUUGCAGUACAUAAGUCCUAUCUCCCUCAAUGGACUUCAAGUCCUAUUCAAACUUUUGGGGUCCAACAAGUCGGAUUCCUCUCGACUCUUUCGUAACUAGAAUUCUAUUAAUUAUAUUUUGUUCCAAUGCUGUCUUAAAUUAGUAAUUGGCUAUCAGACCAUCUAGCUUAAAAUAGUUUAUAGUUUGAAAAGGAUGUUUAUGAUAAUGAUAAUAGUACUUUUUUUUUUGGACAAUGUAAGUAGCUAGUAUAUUGAAAGGAGAAAUUUCCCAACAACAAGCUGGUGCUAAGUCUAUAUAAGUAUCAGGAGACCUUCCAAACAUAACAAAAUGGAAGGAUUUCUCCAGUGAAAAAUCUAUGCUUGCAGGGAGCAAUGGGUGCAGUGUAUUGGUAAAAAAUUAUCCACGUCGAAUGCUUACAUUAAACCAAUAAAGUAAACCUUAUCAGUUCACAUUUAAGAAAAAAUACAUAUCACUUGACCAUGGUCAAGUGUUAAAUAUGUAUGUGAAAGACAUGUGUCUUGCAUUUAUCGAUUUGGUGUAAGCACUUGGUGCAGGUAAGUAUCUACCACUGGUUUUCUCCCAACCCAACUAACACUCCGAAUACACAGACUGCACCUCCCAAUAUCCCAUUUUUAUUCCAAUGAACCAAAAAUCCAACAAUAGAAGUAUACCCACUGAAUAAUCCUGUAUAAUUUAAUCUCCAUAUUGUUAUUCCGAGUUAACUUCUUAUCUACCAAACUACUCCUAAGAGUUGUAAUAGGUCUUAAAAGUGCAGCCCACAAGUAGGGGCAGAGCACCAAUCAUUUUUGGAGCAACGGGUCGAUGUAUUGGUAAAAGUUUAUCCGCGUCGGGUGUUUACAUAAAACAAAUAAAGUUAAUCUUAUACGGUUAACAAUUAUGGGAAAAUACAUUAACCUUGGUUAAGUGUUAAAUAUGUAUGUGAAAGACAUGCGUCUUGCAUUUAUUGGUUUGGUGUAAACACUCGGUGCGGGUAAGCAUUUACCCAGUGUAUUUUCUCCCAACCCAGCUAACACUCCGAAUACACGGACUGUACCUCCUGCUCCUGGAUUAUGAUCUGCCUUUACAUCAACAAUAGCAUACCUAGUGUGAUCCCACAAAUGGGAUCUUAAAUGGGAAGGGGGGGGGGGGUGCGCUCGCAGACGUUACCCCUACUUUGCGGGGAUCAGGAUCUGCCUUUGCCAAUGAAAAAAAAAGUUCUAUCAGUAAUUUUCCCAAAUACUUGCUAUAUUAGACAUAUGUUUCGAUCAGGCUCAAAAUCUAAUUUUAUCGUGUCUUUCAUAAUCUAUAAGAUGUCAUGUAGAAACUUACUCACCUUAAUUUGUUCUUUUACCUUUCUCUCUCCCAUAUUUUGUUUUAGUUUCAAAAAAAAAAUGUGGAAGAGAGAAAGGUUAAAGGUUGUUGUGUAGCAUAAAUAUAUAUUCUGAAGGAUAACAACUGCUGUAAGUACUGCUACAUUCUACUGACAGGUGCCACAAACUGUGUUUCUUCUUAGGACACUUAGGAGUUCUUAUGUCUCUUAGUCUCGAACUUUUGGAUGGGUGAUAUCCUAAUUCUUGCCGCUUGUUCUGUAUAUGGCGAUGAGAUGGAAUUGUGUAGAAUAUCUUUUUUUUUUUAGUAAGGUAACUUUGUAUUAAAACCAGUAUUUAGGUGUACUGAAAAAACCAUUUUCAAAUGGAAUAGGUACAGAAUAUACCAGAUAUGAAACCAAUCCUAAGUGGUGUCUAGGACAUCUGGGAUUGAUUCAGUGUCACUAGAAUACAGUUUAGUGCACCAAAAACAGAAAAGCAAAAUGCAUUUUAGAUUAAUAUUGUGUACUAAACUCCUAUCCUCAAAACAUCUUGUGUAGAAUAUCUCUGUGCGUGAACAAUUCUUUAUGUUAUGCUGGACGUGUAUGUUGCAAUUUGUUCAUUACUCUUCUAAUUUUUCUUCCUUUUUUUAAAAAAAAAUUUUGGAGAAGCAAUUAUCUUGUUUCUGCACAAAAGGUCUUAGUGAUAUUAUACAAACCAGUAUAUAAAAGAUCAGUCAUGUAUAAAAACUAAUUAUCAUUUCUGUUGUUCACACAAUACUGGAAUCACUCAUUUUCAGCUUUAUUUCUAUCCAAGAGAUAAUUAAGAAAAGUAUAUGAAGUUAAAACUUGAUUGUAGUCAAUUUGGAAUCUGGUCAUCAAAGCAAUAGAUUUGUUAUUUCACUAGUUCCUACCUUUAUUCUUUUUCCAUGAUGCAUCUUGGAUGAGCUAAAAGCCUUACAGGGUAGAUAUGAUAUAGAUGUAUUUACUAAUUAUAAUUUCUAUUGUUCACACUAACCGAAAUCACUCACUUCCAACUAUAUUUCUAUCCAUGCAAUGAGUAAGAAAAGUAUAUAAAUUUGGAGCUAGAUUAUAGUCAAUAGGGAAUCGGGUUAUAAAGUAACAGCUGUUCUAUUUCAUUCAUUCUACCUUUAUUCUUUUGGCGUAUCUUAGAUGAGCCAACAGCCUUAAAAGAGUAGAUAAUGAUGUAAAUGCUAAAUACAUUGGUCAGCUAGAGGUUGCCAGUUUCAUAACUUUUACAAGACACUUUCUGUCAAGAUAACACUAUCUUGGUGUAUUAUUAGUGAACUCUUUUUUAUUUAUCAAAAGAAAGUUGUGUAUAUAACUUCCAGUCCUUUCCAGGAAAUACAUUGUCACUUGUGAUUUCCGUUAGGCCCACCGGCCAGCACUUGCUUAGAUCACCACCUUCUUCUGAUUUGUCUUUACAUCCAUUCACUUUCUUUUUGUCCAAAAAUUAUCGAAUAUUAUACAUUCUUUGGGUAAUUCCAUCACUUUGAUCUUGUCCUCCCAAGUCUUUUGAAAUUUGAAACAAAUAGUGCUAGAGGUAGGUCAGAACUAGAAUUUCUAGCCCAUGGAUUAGGGCUUGGACUUUUCAGCAUACCCCAAAAUGGAUUACACUUUCUUGUGUUCUGUGGUGCUGCUGUUUUUUCUCCUGUUAGCAUUCAAUAUUGGAGGGAGUUCACUUUCCACUAUUUUCCAAGAUAGUGCUCCUCGUCUCAGCUUCUCUGGAAAUUAUCGUUGAAUAUACAGAAUUCCAUAAA